RNAcentral lists this ribosomal RNA (503 nucleotides) under uncultured bacterium. RNAcentral's name for it is "partial 16S ribosomal RNA". It matches the Rfam family "Bacterial small subunit ribosomal RNA", at positions 30 to 523 of the family's 1533-position model. The record is from RNAcentral.
AUUGAACGCUGGCGGCAGGCUUAACACAUGCAAGUCGAGCGGGGUGAUGGUGCUUGCACUAUCACUUAGCGGCGGACGGGUGAGUAAUGCUUAGGAAUCUGCCUAUUAGUGGGGGACAACAUCUCGAAAGGGAUGCUAAUACCGCAUACGUCCUACGGGAGAAAGCAGGGGAUCACUUGUGACCUUGCGCUAAUAGAUGAGCCUAAGUCGGAUUAGCUAGUUGGUGGGGUAAAGGCCUACCAAGGCGACGAUCUGUAGCGGGUCUGAGAGGAUGAGCCGCCAACCUGGGAAUGGGACACGGCCCAGACUCCUACGGGAGGCAGCAGUGGGGAAUAUUGGAAAAUGGGGGGAACCCUGAUCCAGCCAUGCCGGGUGUGUGAAGAAGGCCUUAUGGUUGUAAAGCACUUUAAGCGAGGAGGAGGCUCUUUUGGUUAAUACCCAAGAUGAGUGGACGUUACUCGCAGAAUAAGCACCGGCUAACUCUGUGCCAGCAGCCGCCGUAA